This 433-nucleotide ribosomal RNA is filed under the name uncultured bacterium. Its description in RNAcentral is "partial 16S ribosomal RNA". It matches the Rfam family "Bacterial small subunit ribosomal RNA", at positions 29 to 507 of the family's 1533-position model. The record is from RNAcentral.
AGCGAACGCUGGCGGCAGGCCUAACACAUGCAAGUCGAACGGAUCCUUCGGGAUUAGUGGCGGACGGGUGAGUAACACGUGGGAACGUGCCCUUUGGUUCGGAACAACUCAGGGAAACUUGAGCUAAUACCGGAUGUGCCCUUCGGGGGAAAGAUUUAUCGCCAUUGGAGCGGCCCGCGUCUGAUUAGCUAGUUGGUGAGGUAACGGCCCACCAAGGCGACGAUCAGUAGCUGGUCUGAGAGGAUGAUCAGCCACACUGGGACUGAGACACGGCCCAGACUCCUACGGGAGGCAGCAGUGGGGAAUCUUGCGCAAUGGGCGAAAGCCUGACGCAGCCAUGCCGCGUGAAUGAUGAAGGUCUUGGGAUUGUAAAAUUCUUUCAGCGGGGACGAUAAUGACGGUACCCGCAGAAGAAGCUCCGGCUAACUUCGUG